GCGUCAACUUUGAAGUGAUUUGAUUGAGGUUUUAUUAUUUUAUCAGUAUGUCUCUCUUUAUUGAAUCAUCCACUUUGAUCGUCGACAAUCCCAUUUUGGGCGAACUGUGUUGGACAGCACAAGCCGGAUCUAGUCGGCCAAUCGAAAUGGCUUGGAUUGAUGGCAAUGAUGCUUUUUUUAUUAUAGCUUUUUCUAUAGCUUUUAGUUUAAAUUUCAAUUUGUGAUUAUUGAUUUUUCCCCUUUGAUUUCUUUCAGGUAAGAAACGGUAAAGUUUUGAGCACGCCCUUGUGGAUAUCAACCAGCAAAGGAGAACUCGGGCGACAAGAAAAGUUUGGCCGUGGUGUUAUGGUCUUACUCGUCAAAGACAUUGCCACGCCCAGUACCGUAAAAGGGAAUAUAGUACGACGGUGAGCAAUCCUUGCCUCAACAGCCCAUGCAUUCCCUUGUGUGUCCUUAUUCCGGGCGGAUAUCCUUGCUCCUGCCUCGACAGCACGAUCCUGGUUCAAUCUGGUGAAGAAAUGUCGUGGGACGCGACUGAGGAACGAACUCGACCGUCUCCUUUUGCGCUGCCCUUGCCAGAAUCGUGGGGUCUGCACCGGUGACGGCCAAGUCCAAAGUUAGAGUGCCCCAACGAUUAUACGAAGGCGUCCAUUGCGAGACCAACUUGUUGCACCGUCCCACUUCAUCCGAAAGUCUGGCGCCAGCUUAGAUCGUCGUCCCUAUUCUCCUCAUCAUCCUCGCCGGAUCGGCCAGUGUCACCGUUUACGUAUUCUUCUUCCGACGAUCCGGCCGGGGCCAAAGGCUCUGGGCUUUACCGGAUUCAGCUAAAAAGUCCCAGCGUCUCCUUCCGGCUCCAACGACGAACUCCGUAUCAUAUAAACAGCUCUAGUGCCUCCAAGCUAUGAAACCGGUGGAUUCUGAAUUCAAUGGUCGUGACGCCUCGAUUGAAUUGCGUGAUUUCUUCAACGUGGAUGGACCUGUGGAUGCUCCCGAGGUUGGCAUCUAACAAGUCCCGACAGAAAUGAUUCGAGGUAAAAUUGUUGACCCAGCAGUUGACCAAUUUCAAAGAAUUUCGAAAUUUGAACUUGGAAUUUGCUGAAAUUAAAUUUUCUCAUGUA
Molecule: long non-coding RNA, 1118 nt
Filed under: Daphnia pulex (common water flea)
Lineage: Eukaryota; Metazoa; Arthropoda; Branchiopoda; Diplostraca; Daphniidae
Description: uncharacterized LOC124195574, transcript variant X2
Source: RNAcentral